Molecule: ribosomal RNA, 109 nt
Filed under: uncultured bacterium
Lineage: Bacteria
Description: partial 16S ribosomal RNA
Rfam family: Bacterial small subunit ribosomal RNA
Source: RNAcentral
CCCGGGUCUUGUACACACCGCCCGUCACACCAUGGGAGCGGGUUCUGCCAGAAGUAGUUAGCCUAACCUCAAGGGGGCGAUUACCACGGCAGGGUUCGUGACUGGGGUG